This is a long non-coding RNA of Chiroxiphia lanceolata (lance-tailed manakin), 1037 nucleotides long. RefSeq lists it as uncharacterized. The transcript has 4 exons. Lineage: Eukaryota; Metazoa; Chordata; Aves; Passeriformes; Pipridae. The record is from RefSeq and is a predicted model, not a curated record.
GUCCCCACCAUGGUCACCACAGAAUGGCCUUGGAGCGAGGGAAUCAGGCAUGAGGAACAGAGAGUGACCACCCCAACACCCCACCCACGGGUCCCUGGGCACGGAUGCCACCACCAGAACCAUCAGUGGGGACAGCUUUGCUCCUGCACGAUCAGACACGGUCACCUGCCCAGCAGAGAGAGCUCCCUCGGAGGACAAGGAGGAUGAGAAGGACGAGGUCUGUGGACGUUGGAUCCUGUCAUGGAGCAAGUCCUGAGUGCCCUUCUCCAGGCUCAGGUACAAUCAGGUGCCUCAUUCCCUGUUCUCCAUCUCUCCAACCUCGUGGCUCCUCGGACACUGCCCAGGCUUGGAAGAAGCUCCCCAUGAGCAACUUGGUCCAGUGUCCCUGCCCAUGGCAGAGGGGUGGAAUGAGAUGAGCUUUAAGGUCCCUCCCAACCCAAACCAUUCCAGGAUUCAGCAAAAAUUCCUCUUUUUUCCUCCUGAAACCGGUUCUGCAAACUCCCAUGCCAGGGAAGCAUUUCUACAGGAAUCUCCAUCGUGGGGAGAGUGUGGGAACACCCACCUGCAGAGCCAGAGGGCUCCCAGCACUCCGAGGAUGUUCCCUCCCUGCAGCCCCAAGCUCAGCACAUUCUCCUCAGAAGCCAAGGGAACCCCAGCCUGCCCCCGGUGGAGGAGGAGCCAGUGGGAUGAAUCCUACCCCAAACAACUGGUGAGUUUAUUUUGGGAAGUGCCCAAUCACCCAGCUUUGCCCGAGGUCCCAGUCUGGUCUGGGAUCCCCAGGGAUGUUUCUACAUCAGACACACGAGCAGAGCCCCUUGACUGCAAUGGCUUGGGCAGAACAUCCCAUUUUUCCUUGUCUGCAUUGCUCCAGAAGGCUCCAGGGAGACCUUAGAGCAACUUCCAGUGCCUAAAGGGGCUCCAGGAGAGCUAGAGAGAGACUUGGGACAAGGGUCUGGAGUAACAUGAUAAGGGGGAAUUGCUUUUAACUGAAAGAGGAGGAAUUUAGGUUUGAUAUAUGGAAGAAAUUCUUCCCUAUG